Molecule: transfer RNA, 73 nt
Filed under: Ovis aries (sheep)
Lineage: Eukaryota; Metazoa; Chordata; Mammalia; Artiodactyla; Bovidae
Rfam family: tRNA
About the family: Transfer RNA (tRNA) molecules are approximately 80 nucleotides in length. Their secondary structure includes four short double-helical elements and three loops (D, anti-codon, and T loops).
Source: Rfam by way of RNAcentral
UCCCUGGUGGUCCUAUGGUUAAGACUGUGAGCUUCCAAUGCUACAGGUGCAGGUUUGAUCCCUGGCCAGGGAA